UUUUUCACAAGGUGUCUUGUGCUGCAACCAAUGUGCAGAACUAUCCUCACAGGAUCUCAUCACAGCAUCUGUUCCUUGUUAUAUUAGAAACAAGAUCCAUGCACAAUGUACUUUUCCAUUACAGCGUAUUAAUCAUUUAUAAUGCAAUGUGUUGCAGACCACCCUAAGAGUGCACAGGGUCUUUGAUUAUUCAAGUGUAGUAUAUAUCAA
Molecule: non-coding RNA, 210 nt
Organism: Pelobates cultripes (western spadefoot toad)
Lineage: Eukaryota; Metazoa; Chordata; Amphibia; Anura; Pelobatidae
Source: the annotation of a GenBank genome assembly